Long non-coding RNA from Notothenia coriiceps (black rockcod), 626 nucleotides. RefSeq lists it as uncharacterized. NCBI's taxonomy places the organism in Eukaryota, Metazoa, Chordata, Actinopteri, Perciformes, Nototheniidae. The transcript is spliced from 3 exons. The record is from RefSeq and is a predicted model, not a curated record.
GGCAGUCACAUAGGGUGUCGGCUCUGUUUUGACGCCACCCUUUCACCUCUGUCUGCUUUAGAAUGUAAUUGAAUAAUAAAUAGCCCGUGUAGUUAGCUUUGAUGUAGCGUUUGUGUAGCUAGUAUUACUACAGACUUUAGCUGCUAGCUGCUGGCCACACGACGCAAACGCCAGGCGCGUGUCCGCUGAGGAGGACACGCUCUCGCGCAUGAAGCAUCACGGGCCACGGCAGAGCCAUUUUAGCUGCUGAUCGCUCGCGGGACACCUGGGACGGGCGGGACAGAGACUCACAGGGAAUACCAGUAAAACGCAUGGCUGUGUCACACUGUGAGUUAAGAAGCGACAUGUCCUCGCUGCUUUCCCUGGUGUAGAGAGGCUCCACCGGCGGCACUAACGCAUGACCCUGUCUCUGUGUGUCUGUCGGUGGGGAGGACAGUGAUGACAACACUUCCCAUUUCCUAACCAGAUUACCAUGGCAUCAGGAAGAAAAGGAUCCACCUCGAAGGCCGGUGGGGUGCGUUUCCCUGACGACGACGACGAGCCCCCCGGCUCUCCGUCACGGAGAGACGACGAGCUCAACCUCAGUACCCUCAUCGCUGUGCUGGAGAAGGAUGGAGGCUACCUGG